This 202-nucleotide long non-coding RNA is filed under the name Capsicum annuum. RNAcentral's name for it is "long non-coding RNA (CANN_LNC012690)". Lineage: Eukaryota; Viridiplantae; Streptophyta; Magnoliopsida; Solanales; Solanaceae. The record is from RNAcentral.
AUGUUAGCUAUAUACUUCAAUAUGAAUCCGAUGCUUUUCAUGUGUUGCUAUUGUGGUGGUAUGAAGCAUGUAACAUAAUCGAGAUAUACAAUAUAUACACGCAAUAUAUCCAUGCAUUCCCUACAAUGUUUAAGAUGUUGAAUAACUAUAUUAAAUAUGAUAUCCCUUACUUAUGAUAUUAUGAAUUGUGGACUCAAAUCUU